UACGGGGGGGGCAAGCGUUGCUCGGAAUUACUGGGCGUAAAGCGCACGUAGGCGGCUUCUUAAGUCGGUGGUGAAAUCCUGGAGCUCAACUCCAGAACUGCCUUUGAUACUGGCGAUCUCGAGUCCGGGAGAGGUGAGUGGAACUGCGAGUGUAGAGGUGAAAUUCGUAGAUAUUCGCAAGAACACCAGUGGCGAAGGCGGCUCACUGGCCCGGUACUGACGCUGAGGUGCGAAAGCGUGGGGAGCAAACAGG
This 253-nucleotide ribosomal RNA is filed under the name uncultured bacterium. RNAcentral's name for it is "partial 16S ribosomal RNA". It matches the Rfam family "Bacterial small subunit ribosomal RNA", at positions 524 to 776 of the family's 1533-position model. The record is from RNAcentral.